UACAAUCAAACAACAUAAGCAUGUAAAACAAGCAGAAAUUAGAAGCCAUAUACCAACAUGACGAUGAUGAUCUGGUAAUCGUGAGAUCUCCUCAAGACUCUAAAGUAUAAGCCCUCCAACGGUGAUCCACACGGAACUGAUCAGGACCUUUCUCAAUUUGACAUAGUGCUACAGUCUUCUUCGCAAGUUCGCUGCCAAUCGUCCUUCGCA
This 210-nucleotide long non-coding RNA is filed under the name Elaeis guineensis (African oil palm). RNAcentral's name for it is "long non-coding RNA (EGUI_LNC009736)". Lineage: Eukaryota; Viridiplantae; Streptophyta; Magnoliopsida; Arecales; Arecaceae. The record is from RNAcentral.